Molecule: ribosomal RNA, 598 nt
Filed under: uncultured bacterium
Lineage: Bacteria
Description: bacterial SSU rRNA
Rfam family: Bacterial small subunit ribosomal RNA
Source: RNAcentral
AAUGCUUAGGAAUCUGCCUAUUAGUGGGGGACAACAUUCCGAAAGGAAUGCUAAUACCGCAUACGCCCUACGGGGGAAAGCAGGGGAUCUUCGGACCUUGCGCUAAUAGAUGAGCCUAAGUCAGAUUAGCUAGUUGGUGGGGUAAAGGCCUACCAAGGCGACGAUCUGUAGCGGGUCUGAGAGGAUGAUCCGCCACACUGGGACUGAGACACGGCCCAGACUCCUACGGGAGGCAGCAGUGGGGAAUAUUGGACAAUGGGCGAAAGCCUGAUCCAGCCAUGCCGCGUGUGUGAAGAAGGCCUUUUGGUUGUACAGCACUUUAAGCGAGGAGGAGGCUACUGAGAUUAAUACUCUUGGAUAGUGGACGUUACUCGCAGAAUAAGCACCGGCUAACUCUGUGCCAGCAGCCGCGGUAAUACAGAGGGUGCGAGCGUUAAUCGGAUUUACUGGGCGUAAAGCGUGCGUAGGCGGCUUUUUAAGUCGGAUGUGAAAUCCCUGAGCUUAACUUAGGAAUUGCAUUCGAUACUGGGAAGCUAGAGUAUGGGAGAGGAUUGGUAGAAUUCCAGGUGUAGCGGUGAAAUGCGUAGAGAUCUGGAGG